Non-coding RNA from Ictidomys tridecemlineatus (thirteen-lined ground squirrel), 663 nucleotides. The record is from RefSeq and is a predicted model, not a curated record. NCBI's taxonomy places the organism in Eukaryota, Metazoa, Chordata, Mammalia, Rodentia, Sciuridae.
GCUGUGGCUCUCUCGCCUUCUGAAGGUGGUGAUGCCGCUGUUCUCCUUUGUGAUGCGGGCAUCCCUGGCCUGGCCACUGGAGGAGUCCCAGGGUACCUGGAAAUGCUCUUCUUGCCUUGCCGUGCCCCUGUGCAGGACACACACCUACGCGCUACAGCACGAAGACAGGGUGUGUGUGGGGCUGCCUUCUCCAGAGGACGUCCUGACUUGUGACCACCACACAGACCCAUCAGAGGCGGAGCAGCUGCCUCCAACGCAGGGCUCAGGCCAACUCGCCAAUUCCCUUGCGGCUCAGCACUCGGUGAUCUAAGAGGAGGAUCCCCCGGGGGACGGGCUCCUGAGAAUCCGGCGUGGGCCCGUCCAUAGCCCUGAAUAACCUGUGGUGCAGGUUGCGGCAGGAGAGAACACAGAUGUGCUUAGGGAACGUCAAUAAUUCCAUUCCACGGAGCCCUCCAUCCAAGAAGAUACAUAGUCUUAAUCUCUAAGGACCAGCAUGACCGGCUGGUUGAGGUUUCUCAGAAGAUACUCCCCGACAGCCGGUCCACCACAGGACCCACAUUGAGGUGCAGCUGACCACUACAACCAGUACAAUUAGUCCAGUUUCAUGGGUGGACUCUCCAGUCCUCACUGCAAGGCACUUUAAAGGUGGACCUGAGAAAUGUC